RNAcentral lists this non-coding RNA (29 nucleotides) under Mus musculus (house mouse). The record is from RNAcentral. Lineage: Eukaryota; Metazoa; Chordata; Mammalia; Rodentia; Muridae.
UGCUAUCUUGAGAAAUCUAGACAUUUUGA